GAUGAACGCUGGCGGCGUGCCUAAUACAUGCAAGUCGAGCGAACGGACGAGAAGCUUGCUUCUCUGAUGUUAGCGGCGGACGGGUGAGUAACACGUGGAUAACCUACCUAUAAGACUGGGAUAACUUCGGGAAACCGGAGCUAAUACCGGAUGAUCUUUUGAACCGCAUGGUUCAAAAGUGAAAGACGGUCUUGCUGUCACUUAUAGAUGGAUCCGCGCUGCAUUAGCUAGUUGGUAAGGUAACGGCUUACCAAGGCAACGAUGCAUAGCCGACCUGAGAGGGUGAUCGGCCACACUGGAACUGGGACACGGUCCAGACUCCUACGGGAGGCAGCAGUAGGGAAUCUUCCGCAAUGGGCGAAAGCCUGACGGAGCAACGCCGCGUGAGUGAUGAAGGUCUUCGGAUCGUAAAACUCUGUUAUUAGGGAAGAACAUAUGUGUAAGUAACUGUGCACAGCUUGACGGUACCUAAUCAGAAAGCCACGGCUAACUACGUG
This 497-nucleotide ribosomal RNA is filed under the name uncultured bacterium. Its description in RNAcentral is "partial 16S ribosomal RNA". It matches the Rfam family "Bacterial small subunit ribosomal RNA", at positions 28 to 507 of the family's 1533-position model. The record is from RNAcentral.